UACGGGGGAUGCAAGCGUUAUCCGGAAUCAUUGGGCGUAAAGCGCCUGUAGGUUGUUUAAAAAGUCUGUUGUUAAAGCCUAGGGCUCAACCCUAGUUAAGCAAUGGAAACUACUAGACUAGAGUAUGGCAGGGGUAGAGGGAAUUUCUAGUGUAGCGGUGAAAUGCGUAGAUAUUAGAAAGAACACCAGCGGCGAAAGCGCUCUACUGGACCAUUACUGACACUCAGAGGCGAAAGCUAGGGUAGCAAAAGGGAUUAGAUACCCCUGUAGUCCUAGCCGUAAACGAUGGAUACUAGAUGUUGCGUAUAUUAUGCAGUAUCUUAGCUAACGCGUUAAGUAUCCCGCCUGGGGAGUACGCUCGCAAGGGUG
This 369-nucleotide ribosomal RNA is filed under the name uncultured phototrophic eukaryote. Its description in RNAcentral is "SSU rRNA". It matches the Rfam family "Bacterial small subunit ribosomal RNA", at positions 524 to 896 of the family's 1533-position model. The record is from RNAcentral.